ACGCACGCUGGCGGCGUGCUUCACACAUGCAAGUCGAACGGAAAGGCCCUGCUUUUGUGGGGUGCUCGAGUGGCGAACGGGUGAGUAACACGUGAGUAACCUGCCCUUGACUUUGGGAUAACUUCAUGAAACUGGGGCUACUACCGGAUAGGAGCUCCUGCUGCCUGGUGGGGGUUGGAAAGUUUCGGCGGUUGGGGAUGGACUGGCGGCUUAUCAGCUUGUUGGUGGGGUAGUGGCUUACCAAGGCUUUGACGGGUAGCCGGCCUGGGAGGGUGACCGGCCACAUGGGGACUGAGAUACGGCCCAGACUCCUACGGGAGGCAGCAGUGGGGAAUAUUGCACAAUGGGCGGAAGCCUGAUGCAGCAACGCCGCGUGCGGGAUGACGGCCUUCGGGUUGUAAACCGCUUUCGCCUGUGACGAAGCGUGAGUGACGGUAAUGGGUAAAGAAGCACCGGCUAACUACGUG
RNAcentral lists this ribosomal RNA (467 nucleotides) under uncultured bacterium. RNAcentral describes it as "partial 16S ribosomal RNA". It matches the Rfam family "Bacterial small subunit ribosomal RNA", at positions 29 to 507 of the family's 1533-position model. The record is from RNAcentral.